UACCUACAAAAGAAGCACCGGCAAACUAUGUGCCAGCAGCCGCGGUAAUACAUAGGGUGCAAGCGUUGUCCGGAAUUAUUGGGCGUAAAGAGCUCGUAGGUCGUUUGUUACGUCGGAUGUGAAAACCUGAGGCUCAACCUCAGGCCUGCAUUCGAUACGGGCAAACUAGAGUUUGGUAGGGGAGACUGGAAUUCCUGGUGUAGCGGUGGAAUGCGCAGAUAUCAAGAGGAACACCAAUGGCGAAGGCAGGUCUCUGGGCCAAUACUGACACUGAGGAGCGAAAGUCUGGGGAGCAAACAGGAUUAGAUACCCUGGUAGU
This 319-nucleotide ribosomal RNA is filed under the name uncultured Actinomycetes bacterium. Its description in RNAcentral is "bacterial SSU rRNA". It matches the Rfam family "Bacterial small subunit ribosomal RNA", at positions 476 to 794 of the family's 1533-position model. The record is from RNAcentral. Lineage: Bacteria; Bacillati; Actinomycetota; Actinomycetes.